RNAcentral lists this ribosomal RNA (253 nucleotides) under uncultured bacterium. RNAcentral's name for it is "partial 16S ribosomal RNA". It matches the Rfam family "Bacterial small subunit ribosomal RNA", at positions 524 to 776 of the family's 1533-position model. The record is from RNAcentral.
UACGGGGGGGGCAAGCGUUGUUCGGAAUUACUGGGCGUAAAGGGCUCGUAGGUGGCCAACUAAGUCAGACGUGAAAUCCCUCGGCUUAACCGGGGAACUGCGUCUGAUACUGGAUGGCUGGAGUAUGGGAGAGGGAUGCGGAAUUCCAGGUGUAGCAGUGAAAUGCGUAGAUAUCUGGAGGAACACCGGUGGCGAAGGCGGCAUCCUGGACCAUUACUGACGCUGAGGAGCGAAAGCCAGGGGAGCAAACGGG